AGUGAACGCUGGCGGCGUGCCUAAUACAUGCAAGUCGAACGGAGAUUAAGUAGCUUGCUAUUUAAUCUUAGUGGCGCACGGGUGAGUAAUAUAUAGCUAACUUGCCCAUUACUAAGGGACAACAGUUGGAAACGACUGCUAAUACCUUAUACUCCGUAUCUAUAUAAGUAGAUACGGGAAAGUUUUUCGGUAAUGGAUAGGGCUAUAUCGUAUCAGCUAGUUGGUAAGGUAAUGGCUUACCAAGGCUAUGACGCGUAACUGGUCUGAUAGGAUGAUCAGUCACACUGGAACUGAGACACGGUCCAGAAUCCUACGGGAGGCAGCAGUAGGGAAUAUUGCUAAAUGGGGGAAACCCUGAAGCAGCAACGCCGCGUGGAGGAUGACACUUUUCGGAGCGUAAACUCCUUUUCUUGGGAAAGAAUUAUGACGGUACCCAAGGAAUAAGCACCGGCUAACUCCGUG
RNAcentral lists this ribosomal RNA (462 nucleotides) under uncultured bacterium. RNAcentral describes it as "partial 16S ribosomal RNA". It matches the Rfam family "Bacterial small subunit ribosomal RNA", at positions 29 to 507 of the family's 1533-position model. The record is from RNAcentral.